Molecule: long non-coding RNA, 816 nt
Organism: Aedes albopictus (Asian tiger mosquito)
Lineage: Eukaryota; Metazoa; Arthropoda; Insecta; Diptera; Culicidae
Exons: 3
Source: RefSeq, a predicted model, not a curated record
UAUAUUUUAUAGUAUCAGCACAUGUUCUAUAAUAGCACAGAGAAAUAGACGUAAAGGAGUGUUUAGAAUCUCUGAACAAAAAAAAACAACUGUUUUUGUUUGCAUUGGGUAUAGGACCUUUUCAAAUGUUACGCGAGUUUCGCAUAACAACAACUUAAAUGCUAUCAUCAUCGCGGGAAAACGAAAGAAACGCCAGCAACUCAAAUUCGCCAAGAAAAUGAAUAUUCAGCUUCCACCCAGAAGAAGUAGGAUCUUAAAGGUUAGCCCGGUAAGCCAUCGUCGGGUACUCGGAAGAUCUGUGCCAGAUCUGCUGCUAAAGGGCGAUCCUGGAACUAGUUCUAAACAGAUCAUCGGAUCUGGGUGUUUAUGGCGUCUUUCGGAAUAUCCGCGACAACUCGGAACCGAUGUCGGAACUGCGUUAUAGAUGGAAGUGGAAUUUUCCCUCGAAUUUUGUGGAAGCCGGGCAUGAUAGCUCACUCGGAACUGACCGACCGACUUCGGCAAGGAAGAGUCAUCAGGCAACAUUUUCGAUGACGAUGAGGAUGAAUUUAAACCAGCUAUUUUGAACAAUCAGCACCGGCGAAAGCUGCAGCCUCGACUGUAGGGAAAAAUGUCAGCUCCAGCAGCUAAACCUACAGCAUCUGUGACUGCCAAGCGACCAGUUCCGGCCAACAAGCAAGUCGAGUAAAAACUCUAGCAAGGAGAAAGAGGAACAACUGCUUUUGAAGAAACUGUGGUGGUGAUGGGCGGUGACUUCUGCCAAGAAAAAUGAGGAAACCUCCAGUGUGGAUUCGCCGGAUUCCGACGCGGAGUCUA